GAUGAACGCUGGCGGCGUGCCUAAUACAUGCAAGUCGAGCGAACAAACGAGGAUCUUGCCUGUCUUACGUUACGGACGGACGAGUGAUGAAUACGUGGCUAACCGACCUAUAAGACUGGGGUAACUUCGCGAAACCUGAUCUAAUACCGGUUAAUAGAGUGAACGGCAGGGUUCAAUAGUCAACACCGUAUUUGCUGUGACUUAUACAUGGUUCCGCGCCGCAUUAGCUAGUUGGUAAGGUAACGGCUUACCAAGGCAACGAUGCGUAGCUGACCUGAGAGGGUGAUCAGCCACACUGGAACUGAGACACGGUCCAGACUCCUACGGGAGGCAGCAGUAGGGAAUCUUCCACAAUGGGCGAAAGCCUGAUGGAGCAACGCCGCGUGAGUGAAGAAGGUCUUCGGAUCGUAAAACUCUGUUAUUAGGGAAGAACAAAUGUGAAAGUAACUCUGCACGUCUUGACGGUACCUAAUCAGAAAGCCACGGCUAACUACGUG
This 497-nucleotide ribosomal RNA is filed under the name uncultured bacterium. Its description in RNAcentral is "partial 16S ribosomal RNA". It matches the Rfam family "Bacterial small subunit ribosomal RNA", at positions 28 to 507 of the family's 1533-position model. The record is from RNAcentral.